RNAcentral lists this transfer RNA (90 nucleotides) under Proasellus margalefi. Its description in RNAcentral is "transfert RNA-E(GAA)". The record is from RNAcentral. Lineage: Eukaryota; Metazoa; Arthropoda; Malacostraca; Isopoda; Asellidae.
GCUUUAAUGGUGUAUUAACAUAUUAUAAUUUCAUUAUAGGGUAGAUAUUAAUCUUGAAGUAAAUCUUAUAUAUUCUUAGGUUGAUUCCCU